RNAcentral lists this ribosomal RNA (2814 nucleotides) under Klebsiella pneumoniae. RNAcentral describes it as "bacterial LSU rRNA". It matches the Rfam family "Bacterial large subunit ribosomal RNA". The record is from RNAcentral. Lineage: Bacteria; Pseudomonadati; Pseudomonadota; Gammaproteobacteria; Enterobacterales; Enterobacteriaceae.
UUAAGCGACUAAGCGUACACGGUGGAUGCCCUGGCAGUCAGAGGCGAUGAAGGACGUGCUAAUCUGCGAAAAGCGUCGGUAAGGUGAUAUGAACCGUUAUAACCGGCGAUGUCCGAAUGGGGAAACCCAGUGCAAUUCGUUGCACUAUCGUUAACUGAAUACAUAGGUUAACGAGGCGAACCGGGGGAACUGAAACAUCUAAGUACCCCGAGGAAAAGAAAUCAACCGAGAUUCCCCCAGUAGCGGCGAGCGAACGGGGAGCAGCCCAGAGUCUGAAUCAGCUUGUGUGUUAGUGGAACGGUCUGGAAAGUCCGACGGUACAGGGUGAUAGUCCCGUACACCAAAAUGCACAGGUUGUGAACUCGAAGAGUAGGGCGGGACACGUGGUAUCCUGUCUGAAUAUGGGGGGACCAUCCUCCAAGGCUAAAUACUCCUGACUGACCGAUAGUGAACCAGUACCGUGAGGGAAAGGCGAAAAGAACCCCGGCGAGGGGAGUGAAAAAGAACCUGAAACCGUGUACGUACAAGCAGUGGGAGCACCUUCGGGUGUGACUGCGUACCUUUUGUAUAAUGGGUCAGCGACUUAUAUUCUGUAGCAAGGUUAACCGUAUAGGGGAGCCGCAGGGAAACCGAGUCUUAACUGGGCGUUAAGUUGCAGGGUAUAGACCCGAAACCCGGUGAUCUAGCCAUGGGCAGGUUGAAGGUUGGGUAACACUAACUGGAGGACCGAACCGACUAAUGUUGAAAAAUUAGCGGAUGACUUGUGGCUGGGGGUGAAAGGCCAAUCAAACCGGGAGAUAGCUGGUUCUCCCCGAAAGCUAUUUAGGUAGCGCCUCGUGAAUUCAUCUUCGGGGGUAGAGCACUGUUUCGGCUAGGGGGUCAUCCCGACUUACCAACCCGAUGCAAACUACGAAUACCGAAGAAUGUUAUCACGGGAGACACACGGCGGGUGCUAACGUCCGUCGUGAAGAGGGAAACAACCCAGACCGCCAGCUAAGGUCCCAAAGUCAUGGUUAAGUGGGAAACGAUGUGGGAAGGCACAGACAGCCAGGAUGUUGGCUUAGAAGCAGCCAUCAUUUAAAGAAAGCGUAAUAGCUCACUGGUCGAGUCGGCCUGCGCGGAAGAUGUAACGGGGCUAAACCAUGCACCGAAGCUGCGGCAGCGACACUAUGUGUUGUUGGGUAGGGGAGCGUUCUGUAAGCCUGCGAAGGUGUGCUGUGAGGCAUGCUGGAGGUAUCAGAAGUGCGAAUGCUGACAUAAGUAACGAUAAAGCGGGUGAAAAGCCCGCUCGCCGGAAGACCAAGGGUUCCUGUCCAACGUUAAUCGGGGCAGGGUGAGUCGACCCCUAAGGCGAGGCCGAAAGGCGUAGUCGAUGGGAAACAGGUUAAUAUUCCUGUACUUGGUGUUACUGCGAAGGGGGGACGGAGAAGGCUAUGUUAGCCGGGCGACGGUUGUCCCGGUUUAAGCAUGUAGGCUGAUUGUCCAGGCAAAUCCGGAUAAUCAAGGCUGAGGUGUGAUGACGAGGCACUACGGUGCUGAAGUAACAAAUGCCCUGCUUCCAGGAAAAGCCUCUAAGCAUCAGGUAACAUUAAAUCGUACCCCAAACCGACACAGGUGGUCAGGUAGAGAAUACCAAGGCGCUUGAGAGAACUCGGGUGAAGGAACUAGGCAAAAUGGUGCCGUAACUUCGGGAGAAGGCACGCUGGUGUGUAGGUGAAGUCCCUGCGGAUGGAGCUGAGACCAGUCGAAGAUACCAGCUGGCUGCAACUGUUUAUUAAAAACACAGCACUGUGCAAACACGAAAGUGGACGUAUACGGUGUGACGCCUGCCCGGUGCCGGAAGGUUAAUUGAUGGGGUUAUCCGUAAGGAGAAGCUCUUGAUCGAAGCCCCGGUAAACGGCGGCCGUAACUAUAACGGUCCUAAGGUAGCGAAAUUCCUUGUCGGGUAAGUUCCGACCUGCACGAAUGGCGUAAUGAUGGCCAGGCUGUCUCCACCCGAGACUCAGUGAAAUUGAACUCGCUGUGAAGAUGCAGUGUACCCGCGGCAAGACGGAAAGACCCCGUGAACCUUUACUAUAGCUUGACACUGAACAUUGAGCCUUGAUGUGUAGGAUAGGUGGGAGGCUUUGAAGCGUGGACGCCAGUCUGCGUGGAGCCAACCUUGAAAUACCACCCUUUAAUGUUUGAUGUUCUAACGUUGGCCCCUGACCGGGGUUGCGGACAGUGUCUGGUGGGUAGUUUGACUGGGGCGGUCUCCUCCCAAAGCGUAACGGAGGAGCACGAAGGUUAGCUAAUCCUGGUCGGACAUCAGGAGGUUAGUGCAAUGGCAUAAGCUAGCUUGACUGCGAGCGUGACGGCGCGAGCAGGUGCGAAAGCAGGUCAUAGUGAUCCGGUGGUUCUGAAUGGAAGGGCCAUCGCUCAACGGAUAAAAGGUACUCCGGGGAUAACAGGCUGAUACCGCCCAAGAGUUCAUAUCGACGGCGGUGUUUGGCACCUCGAUGUCGGCUCAUCACAUCCUGGGGCUGAAGUAGGUCCCAAGGGUAUGGCUGUUCGCCAUUUAAAGUGGUACGCGAGCUGGGUUUAGAACGUCGUGAGACAGUUCGGUCCCUAUCUGCCGUGGGCGCUGGAGAAUUGAGGGGGGCUGCUCCUAGUACGAGAGGACCGGAGUGGACGCAUCACUGGUGUUCGGGUUGUCAUGCCAAUGGCACUGCCCGGUAGCUAAAUGCGGAAGAGAUAAGUGCUGAAAGCAUCUAAGCACGAAACUUGCCCCGAGAUGAGUUCUCCCUGAGACUUUAAGUCUCCUGAAGGAACGUU